CGCGUUUCCCGCUCUACGCAGCGGCCGAUCGACCUUCGCGCCGCGAGCGCCACGGUCCUGCCACCUGCGGCGCCAUCUCCGCCUGGGAUCACCGUCUGCGGACGGAAGGAGGAGCCGCGAGGACGACCUGGCGGCCCCACCCAAACCGGUGGACCGGUCCACGGGGCCGGCCUUGAGGAAGGACCAAGUACAAUUUGGAGCCGCUCAGCUGAGAAGUGAGGAGUGCCCACGUAGGCCAGCACAUCAGGCCUUCCGCAACAGCGUGAUGUCCUGAGCACAUGGGCAGAACCCAAGACCAAUGUGCAGUGCCCCGGAACAAGCUAGAGUACCCUGGGUGAUAAUCAUAAAGGCCGCAGUAACAGCGAAGGCCUUCCAAGACAAAGGGAAUUUCAUAUAAGCGGCCCCUGUGAGAUCGAGGAUA
Pollicipes pollicipes is the source of this 421-nucleotide long non-coding RNA. RefSeq lists it as uncharacterized. The record is from RefSeq and is a predicted model, not a curated record. The transcript has 3 exons. NCBI's taxonomy places the organism in Eukaryota, Metazoa, Arthropoda, Thecostraca, Pollicipedomorpha, Pollicipedidae.